CCUGUAUAGGUACAAUUCAUUAUCAUUUCAGUACCUGUAGUAGGUAGAUGUGUGUUAAUCAAGACAUCAUUCAUGUCCUACACGGAAUAACAAAAUAAAUAAAGAAGAAGUUAAGAACAACAUUUUAGACAUAUUGAUUGAUGUCGUAACAUACUAUGUAGUUAUACACACGCACAAGAACACACACACAUACUCACAGUAUAUAUAUAGGAGUAUACAUUCGAUUCCAAAACACCAGUGUGACAAACGGCCAUCACUCAAUGUCUGGAAGGAAUAAAAUAGCUCAGACCAUACAAAAAUAGUAUCAAGAAUGCUAAAACUGUUGAUGACUUUUUUUCUUUUAGACAAAGAAAAAAGAGAAAAUGAAAAAUGCCAGCAAUUGCACGUUUUAAAAACAGUCUGCCUACCUAUUAUGUAUACUUACAACACUGGAGCAGUUGUACAUUCAACGUUUUUUUUUCUUUCAAACUCCAUGUUCCACAUCGAUAAACAUUUAUGGUUGAUAUUAAUCUUUACCAGCUAUCAUAAUUUAUUCUUUGUUUAUAUUCGCUGUUAAUCCAUUACAUUCGUGUGUAUGCUGUGUUUGAUUUUUUAUAUGUCCAGUGACCGGGUAAUACAGAUUUUUUGGACUGAUUGUACAGGAACAGUCAUCUCGAAUGAUUACCAACUGUCAAUAAAACGAAUUUGCGUAUUUAAAACGUUGAAUAUUCGUACCGAUAAUACCUACAUAAUACAGGUAUAAUUAUAUUAUAUUAUGCUUAUACCUGUG
Myzus persicae (green peach aphid) is the source of this 769-nucleotide long non-coding RNA. RefSeq lists it as uncharacterized. The record is from RefSeq and is a predicted model, not a curated record. The transcript has 3 exons. Lineage: Eukaryota; Metazoa; Arthropoda; Insecta; Hemiptera; Aphididae.